CUUCCAUCUGCCCAGAGAGGAGCAUCCGGAUCAAGGUGCUGGCCAUGUCCCAGCUGGUGGAAUGCGUCCCCAACUUUUCGGAGGGGAAGAACCAGGAGGUGAUCGACGCCAUCUCUGGAGCCAUCACACAGACCCCGGGCUGCGUGCUGCUGGAUGUGGGCGCAGGCCCUUCCACCAACCGCACCGUGUACACCUUCGUGGGGCCGCCGGAGUGCGUGGUGGAGGGGGCCCUCAACGCUGCCCGGGUAGCUUCCCGACUUAUCGACAUGAGCAGGCACCAAGGAGAGCACCCCCGCAUGGGGGCCCUAGACGUCUGCCCCUUCAUCCCCGUGAGGGGCGUCAGCAUGGACGAGUGUGUGCUCUGCGCCCAGGCCUUUGGCCAGAGGCUGGCAGAGGAGCUGGACGUGCCAGGCCUGACCGCCGGGCUCUCCUGCAGUUUACCUGUACGGCGAGGCGGCCAGGAUGGACAGUCGCCGGACCCUGCCGGCCAUCCGGGCCGGGGAGUACGAGGCCCUCCCUAAGAAGCUCCAGCAGGCCGACUGGGCGCCCGACUUUGGUCCCAGCUCCUUUGUCCCCAGUUGGGGGGCCACGGCCACGGGGGCGAGGAAGUUCCUCAUUGCUUUUAACAUCAACCUGCUCGGCACAAAGGAGCAAGCCCACCGCAUCGCGCUCAACCUGCGGGAGCAGGGCCGCGGGAAGGACCAGCCAGGACGUCUGAAGAAGGUUCAGGGCAUUGGCUGGUACCUGGAUGAGAAGAACCUGGCUCAGGUGUCCACCAAUCUUCUGGACUUUGAGGUCACGGCACUGCACACGGUCUACGAGGAGACCUGCCGAGAAGCACAGGAGCUGAGCCUCCCAGUGGUGGGCUCACAGCUGGUGGGCCUGGUGCCCCUGAAGGCUCUGCUGGAUGCGGCCGCCUUCUACUGCGAGAAGGAGAGCCUCUUCAUCCUGGAGGAGGAGCAGCGGAUCAGGCUGGUGGUGAGCCGGCUGGGCCUGGACUCCCUGUGCCCCUUCAGCCCUAAGGAGCGGAUCAUCGAGUACCUGGUCCCUGAGCGCGGGCCUGAGCGAGGCCUGGGCAGCAAGUCCCUGCGCGCCUUCGUGGGGGAGGUGGGUGCCCGCUCUGCGGCCCCCGGGGGCGGCUCGGUGGCGGCGGCCGCUGCGGCCAUGGGUGCGGCGCUGGGCUCCAUGGUGGGCCUCAUGACCUACGGGCGGCGCCAAUUCCAGUCCCUGGACACGACGAUGCGGCGCCUGAUCCCGCCCUUCCGCGAGGCUUCGGCCAAGCUAACCACGCUGGUGGAUGCCGACGCCGAGGCCUUCGCCGCCUACCUGGAAGCAAUGAGGCUGCCCAAGAACACACCUGAGGAAAAGGACAGGCGCACGGCGGCCCUACAGGAGGGUCUGAGGCGGGCAGUCUCUGUGCCGCUGACGCUGGCGGAGACGGUGGCCUCGCUAUGGCCGGCGCUGCAGGAACUGGCCCGGUGUGGGAACCUGGCCUGCCGGUCAGACCUCCAGGUGGCGGCCAAAGCCCUGGAGAUGGGCGUGUUUGGCGCAUAUUUCAACGUGCUCAUCAACCUGAGGGACAUCACAGACGAGGCAUUUAAGGACCAGAUCCACCAUCGUGUUUCCAGCCUCCUGCAGGAAGCCAAGACCCAGGCUGCACUGGUGCUGGACUGCUUGGAGACCCGGCAGGAGUGACGGUGCGGAAACCCCAGGGACAGCAGGACCUUCGACGCUGGAAGGAUAGCCUCGCUUCCCAGGUGCAGCUCUCAGCAGGUCCGGACAGUUCCACAGAGCACGGUACUGGCCCCGUCCUCAGUUCCCGUCCACCCUUCAACCAGUGGCUCCUGGGAGACUUUUCCUCCCUGCCCAGCCAGCCUCCUGUCUCCAGAGAAGUUCUCCAUUAAAAAAUAAUUUAACAAAUCA
This 1923-nucleotide small RNA is filed under the name Pan troglodytes (chimpanzee). RNAcentral describes it as "processed transcript". Lineage: Eukaryota; Metazoa; Chordata; Mammalia; Primates; Hominidae. The record is from RNAcentral.